Molecule: long non-coding RNA, 2307 nt
Organism: Bos taurus (domestic cattle)
Lineage: Eukaryota; Metazoa; Chordata; Mammalia; Artiodactyla; Bovidae
Source: Ensembl
GUAAGGGCGCGGAGGGGCGGGUGGGGGCGGCGCCAGCCCUCAGGGAACGGGGCGGGAGCGCGGCAACCACCCGAGUCACGUCGGGGGUGGGGUGAGCGCUAGGACAGAAGACCCGGGUGCCGCGGCGGGGCGCGCUGCCGGGGCACCGAGCGCGCUCCGCCGUGGAGCCGGUCCCCCACAGGCAUCGGGUCCCGGCCCCUCCACCGCUGCCGCCUGCGGGGACUGGUGCGUCCUCUGCGACAGCGCGGACAGCGCGGCGCCCCUCGUCUCCUCCCGGGGCGCGCUCCCGGAGCCGACGACCGGACUCCACGGCCAUCGCGACUCUUCCGGGAGCUUCUCGCCGCUCCGCGGCGGGACCGAAGCCCAGGCGGGCCGAGGGUGGCCUGUCCCCGGAGGCACAGAUGCGGACGCGGCGAGGCGCCGGGCAGCCCGUGAGGUGGUGAGUCCUGUGAGAUACAUACCAGUACUACCCCAUUUCCAGGUGAGAAAGCUGAGGACCAGAAAGGUAAAACUUGGCCACCAUCACGAGGGGGAGAAUGAAGUGGAACCAGGACCCAUAUUCAUUCCUUUCUGACUCCCAAGCCUCACUCCUUAAGCAGCUGCAUCUGGCCUCAAUUUGGCAAAUUGCUUAGCCUCUCCACACCUUGGUGUUCUUGUGUGUACAGACAGCAUCAGGCUCACGAGCCACCGAAACGCCUUGACCUGGGCGGCUGACAGAUGAAGGAGUACAUUUGGGAGACUCCAGACUCCGUCAACUGUCAGUGAAAUUCAUGCAACUGAUAUGGAUACAGAACCCAUGGAUACAGAGGGGUGACUGUAUACUGGAACCCACCAAACUGUACUUUUAAGUGGUGAAAUUUACAGCGUGUAAGUUAUAUCUCAGUAGAGGGAAAAAAGGGGGGCACCAUUCUUCCUAGUGGCCCAAAAUAAAUGGCAUGAACCCAGCAGGUUUCUGAAAGCCCCAUAACUCUUUUUUCUUUUUUUACUCCAGCACGCUUGAUAAAUGCUAACUCCCCUGACUCAGAAGAUUCCUUGGUGGUCCAGUGGUUAAGACUUUGUGUUCCACUGCAGGGGUUGUGGGUUUGAUACCUGGUUGGGGAACUGUGAUCCCGUAUGCCACAGGAAACCAUAAAAAGAAAUAAAUAAAUUGGGCCAAGAUACAAAAGAAAAUCUAAUCCUGGUGUAGGUAACACAAGAGAGUCGGGCAUCCUGUGGCUGUUCUGCCUGGACACUGGCAGGUACUGACAAGUCCAAAGCAGCCUGUCUUUUAUGCCCUCGAAGACAGGACUGUGGUGACACGGGGUCUGAGACUGGACCCUGCAGAAGAAAGGGGGCUUGGUGGUGGGGAGGACUUGCCUAUUGCAACCCUGCGUCUGUGAAUGACAGAUGUUGCUGCCAUAUUGGUAAACAAGGAUGCUGCAACCUUCAAGCCACCACAUUACCAGCCACACAGACCAUAAGCCCUGAGGGAACUCAGGAUGGAGGCAGGAAGCACCCACUCCCCAGCUAGAAGUCAGCCGCUGCAGCCACCGCCAGGGGGUACCCUGAGGAGACUCAGGAUGAGAAAACACGGUAUUCUGGCCCAGAGAGCAGAGGGUAUACCAAGGAAUGACGUCAGCAAGCCCAGACUUUUGCAACUUUCCCAUGCAUAGACAAGCGCUAAAUUCCUUAACUUGAAAUGUCUGGUGUUCUUUAACAGUAAGGUAGCUCAGUGGUAAAGAAUCCGACUGCCAGUGCAUGAGACAAGGAUUCGAUCCUUGGGUUGGGAAGAUCCCUGGAGGAAGGCAUGGCAACCCACUCCAGUAUUGCCUGGGGAAUUCCAUGGACAGAGGAGCCUGGAAGGCUACAGUCCAUUGGGUCGCAAAAGAGUCGGACAUGACUGAACAACUCAACAACAACAAUAGCAGCAAUAUUUUGAUGUUCUGACUACUUGGUCUUUGUUGCAGAAACUCCUAUGUAUCCUGGCUCCUGGCUUGCCUCUUUGGAGCAGUCCCACAGAGCUAUCUGAGAGGUUAUGUCCUGGGCUUAAGUUCUUUAAAGAUGUCCGCCAAAUAAAACAAAACUCUCAGCUCUGAGGUCGUGCUUUUUUUUUUUUCAGUUGAUAUAUCGGAAAGUCAUUUGGUGGGCCCAUGGUGGAUGGGCCAGUGUGGGGACCUAUGUGUAACCUGUGGGGGUGCUCCAGGGAGCCUGCCUAGCCCUUGCAAAGCCCUUGUGUCAGCAAGCACACUCUUCAAAACCCCACUUCUGAAUAAGGAAGCGCAACUUGACUUGUUGGGUUGGUGAAGAAAUCUCCACUGAAUUAAAAAU